RNAcentral lists this ribosomal RNA (760 nucleotides) under Brevibacterium casei. RNAcentral's name for it is "bacterial SSU rRNA". It matches the Rfam family "Bacterial small subunit ribosomal RNA", at positions 53 to 822 of the family's 1533-position model. The record is from RNAcentral. Lineage: Bacteria; Bacillati; Actinomycetota; Actinomycetes; Micrococcales; Brevibacteriaceae.
ACAUGCAAGUCGAACGCUGAAACCCGGUGCUUGCAUCGGGUGGAUGAGUGGCGAACGGGUGAGUAACACGUGAGUAACCUGCCCCUGACUUCGGGAUAAGCCCGGGAAACUGGGUCUAAUACCGGAUACGACCAUCGGACGCAUGUCUGAUGGUGGAAAGUUUUUUCGGUUGGGGAUGGGCUCGCGGCCUAUCAGUUUGUUGGUGAGGUAAUGGCUCACCAAGACGACGACGGGUAGCCGGCCUGAGAGGGCGACCGGCCACACUGGGACUGAGACACGGCCCAGACUCCUACGGGAGGCAGCAGUGGGGAAUAUUGCACAAUGGGGGAAACCCUGAUGCAGCGACGCAGCGUGCGGGAUGACGGCCUUCGGGUUGUAAACCGCUUUCAGCAGGGAAGAAGCGCAAGUGACGGUACCUGCAGAAGAAGUACCGGCUAACUACGUGCCAGCAGCCGCGGUAAUACGUAGGGUACGAGCGUUGUCCGGAAUUAUUGGGCGUAAAGAGCUCGUAGGUGGUUGGUCACGUCUGCUGUGGAAACGCAACGCUUAACGUUGCGCGUGCAGUGGGUACGGGCUGACUAGAGUGCAGUAGGGGAGUCUGGAAUUCCUGGUGUAGCGGUGAAAUGCGCAGAUAUCAGGAGGAACACCGGUGGCGAAGGCGGGACUCUGGGCUGUAACUGACACUGAGGAGCGAAAGCAUGGGGAGCGAACAGGAUUAGAUACCCUGGUAGUCCAUGCCGUAAACGUUGGGCACUAGGUG